ACUCACUUUGAUUUGAGUUGAGUCUUGGUUCACCAAUCUACUAGGCUUUGAAUUUCAUGGGUAAUGUUUUAUUUUUGAAUGCAUGCAAGCAUGAUUCCGCCUUUUAAUUGUUAAAUGCAUGCUAUAGAUGUUAUUCAAAUGAACAUGUUUUCACAAAAUCAUCCUUCAUGUUAAGCUAUUUUCGUGUGUUUGUAGGUCCAUAGGGUAAAGCAAUAAGAUGCAUUUUUUGUGCAUUUUGGAGCAGUUUUGGGCUUGGAAUGGAUAGCACAUGCAUGGAGCAAGGUGGAUCGACGAAAUUGAAGACUAAAGAGGCUAGGAAUGUGUUAAAGAGAAAGAAGAAUUAGUGUAAAAAGGACAAAGAGCUCAGCCACAAAGGGGUGUCACUCCACCAUUCACCUUUUCAUCAUUGCCGUGCACCACCAUUGCACUCCCUUUGGAUUCCUAUGUCGUGCAUCAUCAUCCAUGUUCCCUCCAUUGACUCAUUUGUUGCAUCAUUCCACUUCCUUUCCUUUGUUUACCAUGUGCACAAUAUUUUUUCACCUCCUUGCACUCAUUUAUUCACCACUUCCUCACAUUUUCACCCAUGCCAUGCAUAAUCACUCUUGUCCCCUUCAUGCACCAGAUUUCUUGCACUCAUUUCAUGCACCAUUACACUCAUUAUCCACCCAUGCCGUGCACCACCCUUGUCUCCUUCAUUAUUUUUGAUUUCAUGCAUCAAAACAUUGAAUCAUUGCACUCAAUUGUUACACAUUUCUUGUCCAUUUCACCCAUAAGAUUUUAUACAACUUUUACCUCCACUACAUGCACUCAUUGAUGCACCAUCCACCACAUUUGGAAUCCCAUGCCGUGCAUCAUGAGUCUUGCUGCACCUUUGACUCAUUUCUACACCAUUCCACCUCCCUUUCCUUUCUUUACCAUGUGCACAAUCAUUCAUGUUCCCUAGCUGCAACACCACUCCAUUUUACCCCCCAUGCUUUGCAUCAUCACUUCACUUUCAUCUUUCAAUCAUUUCAAACAUCACUCAAUGCACUCAUUGCUGCAACACCACUCCAUUUUACCCCCUAUGCUUUGCAUCAUUACUUCAUUUUUACCCUUGAAUCAUUGCAAACACCACUAAAUUCCCUCCAUUGCCGUGCACUUCCUCUAUAAAAGGAAGUGUGUGUGGCAGCCACAUAGUUUAGUUUUUGCUUUAUCAUUGAUCGGAUCAUAUUUAUAUAUAUUUUUACUUCAAAUUCACUCGUCUUUUCUUAGUUAGUUCCUUAUAUUUUUGAGCUAUUUGCGUUAUUUUUGUGUUUAUAGGAUUUGUUAUGCAAAGAAAAUAAAAAUAGAACAAGUGAAAUUUUAUGUAUUAAAUUCGUCAAACCUGUCUGUGUAGAUCAGCUUUUAAAUAAAAUCAAUAAAAGAAAUAAUAAUGAUAAAUCAUGAUGAUGUUUGAAACAUCAUCAUGAUUCAUGUUUUGUGGCAUAACAGAAAAUAAAAGGAGAGAGGACGUGAAAAGAAGAAUCCAAGGAAAGCAGAACGGGGGGCAUAAUAAAAUAAGAAGAGGAAAGAGAUACGGGGAUUGACUGGAGGGGAGAAAACCACACGAAAAAAGAAGAAAUAAGAGGUAGGGGGAAUAAGGAGCUGCCUUUGGGCAGCGGGAGAAAGGGCGCAAGUCAAGGGAGUAGCAGAAAAGCUGCCAGGGAAAAGAAUAAAAAAAAAGAACAAAAAAGAAUAGGAGCUGCCUUUGGGCAGCGGGAGAAAGGGCGCAAGUCAGGGGAGAGAAGAAAGAGUGCGACAGCUACGGAACAGGGAAGAAGUAGGGAGGACUUGUCAGCAGGUCAGAGAGGAGAAUAAACAGAGCGAGCACAGUAAGAGUGGGAGGAAGCCCUGACAGCGGUGCAGCAGAAACCGAGGGGCAGACUGGCACUGAAUCACUCUCUCCUCUCCCGGUUAAUUCUCUCCAAAUUUAUAUUUUACUUUUAGUUUAAUUUGAUAAUAAUGUGUAACUAAUUUUAUUUUGGCUAGAGGUUAAUUCGAAACCAUGAUUAUAUUUGUAAUAUGAAUUGAUUACCUUCAGUUGUGAUU
RNAcentral lists this long non-coding RNA (2067 nucleotides) under Malus domestica (apple). RNAcentral describes it as "long non-coding RNA (MDOM_LNC021257)". Lineage: Eukaryota; Viridiplantae; Streptophyta; Magnoliopsida; Rosales; Rosaceae. The record is from RNAcentral.